Molecule: long non-coding RNA, 424 nt
Filed under: Ananas comosus (pineapple)
Lineage: Eukaryota; Viridiplantae; Streptophyta; Magnoliopsida; Poales; Bromeliaceae
Description: long non-coding RNA (ACOM_LNC026979)
Source: RNAcentral
CUAAAAAACUGCCAAAUUGCAGUCUGCACUGCGUACCGGUACGCGGGAAGGAGUAUUAGUACCAAACAGCAGUCUGCGCAAACCGAGCCUCUCCCAGGUGGGAAAAUGCACUGGGUACCGUACUCCGCCGAUGCAGUACCGGUACUUAACCCUGCGGCGUACCGAUACUCGGCCAAUGCCGUACCGGUACCCGACCACCCAACAGCUCAAACCCGAUAGCAGCAUUUCUCGGUUUAAACAGGGGAGUUCCAGUACCUCUUCUCCUCUCGGAUCCCUGCAUCCAUAGGCACACACAGUCGGUCCUGAACUGUCCACAACAAAAUCCUCUGUCUGUCCCCUCUCCAUCUGCUCUCGAAUCCUCAACAAGUGAGAGUCUCCACUCAGUUUCUCUCUGAUCCAAUCUAAUAGAGUAGGCUGCAAGACC